RNAcentral lists this ribosomal RNA (424 nucleotides) under Rikenellaceae bacterium. RNAcentral describes it as "bacterial SSU rRNA". It matches the Rfam family "Bacterial small subunit ribosomal RNA", at positions 355 to 776 of the family's 1533-position model. Lineage: Bacteria; Pseudomonadati; Bacteroidota; Bacteroidia; Bacteroidales; Rikenellaceae. The record is from RNAcentral.
UGAGGAAUAUUGGACAAUGGAGGCAACUCUGAUCCAGCCAUGCCGCGUGAAGGACUAAGGCCCUAUGGGCUGUAAACUUCUUUAGACGCAGAGCAAUAAGGGCCACGCGUGGUCCGAUGAGAGUAUGCGUAGAAUAAGCAUCGGCUAACUCCGUGCCAGCAGCCGCGGUAAUACGGGGGAUGCGAGCGUUAUCCGGAUUCAUUGGGUUUAAAGGGUGCGUAGGCGGCUUUGCAAGUCAGCGGUGAAAGGCCCGGGCUCAACCCGGAAAGUGCCGUUGAUACUGUGAGGCUGGAAUGCGGAUGCUGUGGGAGGAAUGAGUGGUGUAGCGGUGAAAUGCAUAGAUAUCACUCAGAACACCGAUUGCGAAGGCAUCUCACAAAUCCGCAAUUGACGCUGAGGCACGAAAGCGUGGGGAUCGAACAGG